This 446-nucleotide long non-coding RNA is filed under the name Polistes fuscatus (common paper wasp). Its description in RNAcentral is "uncharacterized LOC122526748". Lineage: Eukaryota; Metazoa; Arthropoda; Insecta; Hymenoptera; Vespidae. The record is from RNAcentral.
GGAUAAAAUAUAAACUUAUUAAUUUGUAAAGCAAAUGUACCUGUCAAAACAUUAAUAUACUUAGAUGAGUCAACUAUUUCUAAUAUAAGACAAAAAACAGUCACAGCUUAAUAACCAAUAAUAGAUUAAAAUAAACGUAACAUAUAAGAUGAUGAAAAUUACGAUUACCAUUUGAAAAUAAAAUGGUAGUGUGUAGAUAAUUAGAGAGGAACAAAACAACAACUGAUCCCUAGAGUUUCGGUUAGGAAGUUGAUUCGACAAAAACUGAAAUAAACGAUUUGAAAAAAGAAAAUGACGGUUCGCGAGAUCCCGAUUUUUCAAAGACAUGGUAAAGUGUCUUACGAAAUCUUGAAGCUAACUGAACGAAAUACUACCAUCUAGGUGCACUUAAUUAAUUCAAAUUGCUACCUUUUACAAAUAAAGCAAAAUUGACAUAAGCAGUGUAA